RNAcentral lists this ribosomal RNA (259 nucleotides) under uncultured bacterium. RNAcentral's name for it is "partial 16S ribosomal RNA". It matches the Rfam family "Bacterial small subunit ribosomal RNA", at positions 94 to 354 of the family's 1533-position model. The record is from RNAcentral.
AGUGGCGGACGGGUGAGUAACGCGUGGGCAACCUGCCCCAGUACAGGGGAUAACAGUUAGAAAUGACUGCUAACACCGCAUAAGCGCACAGGGCCGCAUGGCCCGGUGUGAAAAACUCCGGUGGUAUGGGAUGGGCCCGCGUCUGAUUAGCCAGUUGGCGGGGUAACGCCCACCAAAGCGACGAUCAGUAGCCGACCUGAGAGGGUGACCGGCCACAUUGGGACUGAGACACGGCCCAAACUCCUACGGGAGGCAGCAG